UGGAAACUGUCUGACUNGAGUGCAGAAGGGGAGAGUGGAAUNCCAUGUGUAGCGGUGAAAUGCGUAGAUAUAUGGAGGAACACCAGUGGCGAAAGCGGCUCUCUGGUCUGUCACUGACGCUGAGGCUCGAAAGCGUGGGUAGCGAACAGGAUUAGAUACCCUGGUAGUCCACGCCGUAAACGAUGAGUGCUAGGUGUUAGGCCCUUUCCGGGGCUUAGUGCCGGAGCUAACGCAAUAAGCACUCCGCCUGGGGAGUACGACCGCAAGGUUGAAACUCAAAGGAAUUGACGGGGGCCCGCACAAGCGGUGGAGCAUGUGGUUUAAUUCGAAGCAACGCGAAGAACCUUACCAGGUCUUGACAUCCCGAUGCUAUUCUUAGAGAUAGGAAGUUACUUCGGUACAUCGGAGACAGGUGGUGCAUGGUUGUCGUCAGCUCGCGUCGUGAGAUGUUGGGUUAAGUCCCGCAACGAGCGCAACCCUUAUUGUUAGUUGCCAUCAUUAAGUUGGGCACUCUAGCGAGACUGCCGGUAAUAAACCGGAGGAAGGUGGGGAUGACGUCAAAUCAUCAUGCCCCUUAUGACCUGGGCUACACACGUGCUACAAUGGUCGGUACAACGAGUUGCGAGCCGGUGACGGCAAGCUAAUCUCUGAAAGCCGAUCUCAGUUCGGAUUGGAGGCUGCAACUCGCCUCCAUGAAGUCGGAAUCGCUAGUAAUCGCGGAUCAGCACGCCGCGGUGAAUACGUUCCCGGGCCUUGUACACACCGCCCGUCACACCACGAGAGUUUGUAACACCCGAAGUCGGUGAGGUAACCUUUUAGGGGCCAGCCGC
This 830-nucleotide ribosomal RNA is filed under the name uncultured bacterium. Its description in RNAcentral is "bacterial SSU rRNA". It matches the Rfam family "Bacterial small subunit ribosomal RNA", at positions 627 to 1456 of the family's 1533-position model. The record is from RNAcentral.